AGGACCGGCUAACUCCGUGCCAGCAGCCGCGGUAAUACGGAGGGUCCGAGCGUUAUCCGGAAUCAUUGGGUUUAAAGGGUCCGUAGGCGGGCCUGUAAGUCAGGGGUGAAAGUUUGUGGCUCAACCAUAAAAUUGCCUUUGAUACUGCAGGUCUUGAGUCAUGGUGGGGUUGCCGGAACAUGUGGUGUAGCGGUGAAAUGCAUAGAUAUCACAUAGAACACCGAUCGCGAAGGCAGGUGACCAACCAUGUACUGACGCUGAUGGACGAAAGCGUGGGUAGCGAACGGGAUUAGAUACCCCGGUAGUCCACGCCGUAAACGAUGGAUACUAGCUGUGGGGACUUCGGUCUCCGUGGCCAAGCGAAAGUGAUAAGUAUCCCACCUGGGGAGUACGUUCGCAAGAAUGAAACUCAAAGGAAUUGACGGGGGCCCGCACAAGCGGUGGAGCAUGUGGUUUAAUUCGAUGAUACGCGAGGAACCUUACCAGGGCUUAAAUGCAGGCUGCAUGGGGUAGAGAUACCCCUUUCUUCGGACCGCCUGCAAGGUGCUGCAUGGUUGUCGUCAGCUCGUGCCGUGAGGUGUCAGGUUAAGUCCUAUAACGAGCGCAACCCCUACCGUUAGUUGCCAGCAUGUCAAGAUGGGGACUCUAACGGGACUGCCGGUGCAAACCGUGAGGAAGGUGGGGACGACGUCAAAUCAUCACGGCCCUUACGUCCUGGGCUACACACGUGCUACAAUGGCCGGUACAGAGGGAAGCCACCCCGCAAGGGGGCGCGGAUCUACAAAACCGGUCACAGUUCGGAUCGGGGUCUGCAACUCGACCCCGUGAAGCUGGAAUCGCUAGUAAUCGGAUAUCAGCCAUGAUCCGGUGAAUACGUUCCCGGGCCUUGUACACA
This 895-nucleotide ribosomal RNA is filed under the name Flagellimonas marinaquae. RNAcentral's name for it is "bacterial SSU rRNA". It matches the Rfam family "Bacterial small subunit ribosomal RNA", at positions 488 to 1389 of the family's 1533-position model. Lineage: Bacteria; Pseudomonadati; Bacteroidota; Flavobacteriia; Flavobacteriales; Flavobacteriaceae. The record is from RNAcentral.